GACGAACGCUGGCGGCGUGCUUAACACAUGCAAGUCGAACGGUAAGGCCCUUCGGGGUGCACGAGUGGCGAACGGGUGAGUAACACGUGGGUGAUCUGCCCUGCACUUCGGGAUAAGCCUGGGAAACUGGGUCUAAUACCGGAUAGGACCACUGCCUGCAUGGGUGGUGGUGGGAAGCUUUUGCGGUGUGGGAUGGGCCCGCGGCCUAUCAGCUUGUUGGUGGGGUGAUGGCCUACCAAGGCGACGACGGGUAGCCGGCCUGAGGGGGUGACCGGCCACACUGGGACUGAGGUACGGCCCAGACUCCUACGGGAGGCAGCAGUGGGGAAUAUUGCACAAUGGGCGCAAGCCUGAUGCAGCGACGCCGCGUGAGGGAUGACGGCCUUCGGGUUGUAAACCUCUUUCAGCACCGACGAAGCGCAAGUGACGGUAGGUGCAGAAGAAGGACCGGCCAACUACGUGCCAGCCGCCGCAGUAA
Molecule: ribosomal RNA, 478 nt
Filed under: uncultured bacterium
Lineage: Bacteria
Description: partial 16S ribosomal RNA
Rfam family: Bacterial small subunit ribosomal RNA
Source: RNAcentral